AGGGGGUCAUCCCGACUUACCAACCCGAUGCAAACUGCGAAUACCGGAGAAUGUUAUCACGGGAGACACACGGCGGGUGCUAACGUUCGUCGUGAAGAGGGAAACAACCCAGACCGCCGGCUAAGGUCCCAAAGUCAUAAUUAAGUGGGAAACGAAGUGGGAAGGCUCAGACAGCCAGGAUGUUGGCUUAGAAGCAGCCAUCAUUUAAAGAAAGCGUAAUAGCUCACUGGUCGAGUCGGCCUGCGCGGAAGAUGUAACGGGGCUAAAUUAUGCACCGAAGCCGCGGCAGCGAUAUGUAAAUAUUGUUGGGUAGGGGAGCGUUCUGUAAGCCUGUGAAGGUGUGCUGUGAGGCAUGCUGGAGGUAUCAGAAGUGCGAAUGCUGACAUAAGUAACGAUAAUGCGGGUGAAAAACCCGCACGCCGGAAGACCAAGGGUUCCUGUCCAACGUUAAUCGGGGCAGGGUGAGUCGACCCCUAAGGCGAGGCUGAAAAGCGUAGUCGAUGGGCAACGGGUUAAUAUUCCCGUACUGGUGGUAACUGCGAAGGGGGGACGGAGAAAGCUAAAUCAUCCGGGCGACGGUUGUCCCGGUUUAAGCGUGCAGGUGGACUGACCAGGCAAAUCCGGUCGGUUGUUAACACUGAGGCGUGACGACGAGCCACUACGGUGGUGAAGUGAUUGAUGCUCUGCUUCCGGGAAAAGCCUCUAAGCUCCAGGUUACCAUUAAUCGUACCCCAAACCGACACAGGUGGUCAGGUAGAGAAUACUCAGGCGCUUGAGAGAACUCGGGUGAAGGAACUAGGCAAAAUGGUGCCGUAACUUCGGGAGAAGGCACGCUGGCAUUAGGUGAAGUGGUUUACCCACGGAGCUGAAGCCAGCCG
This 878-nucleotide ribosomal RNA is filed under the name Escherichia coli. RNAcentral describes it as "partial 23S ribosomal RNA". It matches the Rfam family "Bacterial large subunit ribosomal RNA", at positions 921 to 1782 of the family's 2925-position model. Lineage: Bacteria; Pseudomonadati; Pseudomonadota; Gammaproteobacteria; Enterobacterales; Enterobacteriaceae. The record is from RNAcentral.